CCUACGGGAGGCAGCAGUGAGGAAUAUUGGUCAAUGGACGAGAGUCUGAACCAGCCAAGUAGCGUGAAGGAUGACUGCCCUAUGGGUUGUAAACUUCUUUUAUAAAGGAAUAAAACGAGGCACGUGUGCCUUUUUGCAUGUACUUUAUGAAUAAGGAUCGGCUAACUCCGUGCCAGCAGCCGCGGUAAUACGGAGGAUCCGAGCGUUAUCCGGAUUUAUUUGGUUUAAAGGGAGCGUAGAUGGGUUGUUAAGUCAGUUGUGAAAGUUUGCGGCUCAACCGUAAAAUUGCAGUUGAUACUGGCAGUCUUGAGUACAGUUGAGGUAGGCGGAAUUCGUGGUGUAGCGGUGAAAUGCUUAGAUAUCACGAAGAACCCCGAUUGCGAAGGCAGCUUACCAGACUGUGACUGACAUUGAUGCUCGAAAGUGUGGGUAUCAAACAGGAUUAGAUACCCCUGUAGUC
Molecule: ribosomal RNA, 460 nt
Filed under: uncultured bacterium
Lineage: Bacteria
Description: partial 16S ribosomal RNA
Rfam family: Bacterial small subunit ribosomal RNA
Source: RNAcentral